This 704-nucleotide ribosomal RNA is filed under the name Microbacterium phyllosphaerae. RNAcentral's name for it is "bacterial SSU rRNA". It matches the Rfam family "Bacterial small subunit ribosomal RNA", at positions 22 to 739 of the family's 1533-position model. The record is from RNAcentral. Lineage: Bacteria; Bacillati; Actinomycetota; Actinomycetes; Micrococcales; Microbacteriaceae.
GCUCAGGAUGAACGCUGGCGGCGUGCUUAACACAUGCAAGUCGAACGGUGAAGCCCAGCUUGCUGGGUGGAUCAGUGGCGAACGGGUGAGUAACACGUGAGCAACCUGCCCCUGACUCUGGGAUAAGCGCUGGAAACGGCGUCUAAUACUGGAUACGAGUAGCGACCGCAUGGUCAGCUACUGGAAAGAUUUAUUGGUUGGGGAUGGGCUCGCGGCCUAUCAGCUUGUUGGUGAGGUAAUGGCUCACCAAGGCGUCGACGGGUAGCCGGCCUGAGAGGGUGACCGGCCACACUGGGACUGAGACACGGCCCAGACUCCUACGGGAGGCAGCAGUGGGGAAUAUUGCACAAUGGGCGCAAGCCUGAUGCAGCAACGCCGCGUGAGGGAUGACGGCCUUCGGGUUGUAAACCUCUUUUAGCAGGGAAGAAGCGAAAGUGACGGUACCUGCAGAAAAAGCGCCGGCUAACUACGUGCCAGCAGCCGCGGUAAUACGUAGGGCGCAAGCGUUAUCCGGAAUUAUUGGGCGUAAAGAGCUCGUAGGCGGUUUGUCGCGUCUGCUGUGAAAUCCGGAGGCUCAACCUCCGGCCUGCAGUGGGUACGGGCAGACUAGAGUGCGGUAGGGGAGAUUGGAAUUCCUGGUGUAGCGGUGGAAUGCGCAGAUUCAGGAGGAACACCGAUGGCGAAGGCAGAUCUCUGGGCCGUAA